RNAcentral lists this ribosomal RNA (253 nucleotides) under uncultured bacterium. RNAcentral's name for it is "partial 16S ribosomal RNA". It matches the Rfam family "Bacterial small subunit ribosomal RNA", at positions 524 to 776 of the family's 1533-position model. The record is from RNAcentral.
UACGUAGGGGGCUAGCGUUGUCCGGAAUCAUUGGGCGUAAAGCGCGCGUAGGCGGUUUGGAAAGUCAGAUGUGAAAGCCCCGGGCUCAACUUGGGAACUGCAUUUGAUACUGCCAGACUAGAGUACAGAAGAGGUGACUGGAAUUCCCAGUGUAGCGGUGAAAUGCGUAGAUAUUGGGAGGAACACCAGAUGCGAAGGCGGGUCACUGGGCUGAUACUGACGCUGAUGCGCGAAAGCCAGGGGAGCGAACGGG